AGUGAACGCUGGCGGUAGGCCUAACACAUGCAAGUCGAACGGCAGCACAGUAAGAGCUUGCUCUUACGGGUGGCGAGUGGCGGACGGGUGAGGAAUACAUCGGAAUCUACUUUUUCGUGGGGGAUAACGUAGGGAAACUUACGCUAAUACCGCAUACGACCUACGGGUGAAAGCAGGGGAUCUUCGGACCUUGCGCGAUUGAAUGAGCCGAUGUCGGAUUAGCUAGUUGGCGGGGUAAAGGCCCACCAAGGCGACGAUCCGUAGCUGGUCUGAGAGGAUGAUCAGCCACACUGGAACUGAGACACGGUCCAGGCUCCUACGGGAGGCAGCAGCGGGGAAUAUUGGACAAUGGGCGCAAGCCUGAUCCAGCCAUACCGCGUGGGUGAAGAAGGCCUUCGGGUUGUAAAGCCCUUUUGUUGGGAAAGAAAAGCAGCAGGUUAAUACCCCGCUGUUCUGACGGUACCCAAAGAAUAAGCACCGGCUAACUUCGUG
Molecule: ribosomal RNA, 492 nt
Filed under: uncultured bacterium
Lineage: Bacteria
Description: partial 16S ribosomal RNA
Rfam family: Bacterial small subunit ribosomal RNA
Source: RNAcentral